AUUUUUGUUUUUGUAACCAUGAUUUUGCUUGAAUAAAGCCGGUAUUACUCGUGAUAUGUGGGUCACAGACCCACACAUUUAUUAAACUGAUUUUUGUUCAGAAAAAGUGGUAAAGAAGCUUGCUUCAACCACUUUGAAGAUCUUCUCAGUAUUGCAUUACUUCUGAGUUAGGUCUAACCCCA
Molecule: small nuclear RNA, 182 nt
Filed under: Hofstenia miamia
Lineage: Eukaryota; Metazoa; Xenacoelomorpha; Acoela; Hofsteniidae
Description: U2 spliceosomal RNA
Rfam family: U2 spliceosomal RNA
About the family: U2 is a small nuclear RNA (snRNA) component of the spliceosome (involved in pre-mRNA splicing). Complementary binding between U2 snRNA (in an area lying towards the 5' end but 3' to hairpin I) and the branchpoint sequence (BPS) of the intron results the bulging out of an unpaired adenosine, on the BPS, which initiates a nucleophilic attack at the intronic 5' splice site, thus starting the first of two transesterification reactions that mediate splicing.
Source: RNAcentral